UUUGUGCCUUGGGUAAAUGUCCUAACAUUUAAGUAGUUUAAGUAUUUCCUGAGAUGCUGGAAUCCAAAACUUUUAUUCCAAAAUAAGACCUGACACUGCUGCUAAUGCAGAGAACAUCUCAUUACCAAACUUUGAGACUUCUCUCUACAUUGUGGGAUAUUUUAGAAACCAAUUCACUGGUCCUGUUCACUGAUUAUCUCAAGGCAAGUGGGUGCUAUUGAUUUGUUAGCCACUAUGGUCCCAAACCCGACUUGGACAGUGAAACACAGGUAGCAGGUGGACUGUUCAGAAGAAGCUUAGAGGACAGAAUGGAAGCUGGAAGAUCCAUUAGAAAUUGUUCUAAGUAGGACAGAGAAAAUAGGAAGUAGGAGACAAGAUGACUACCCCCAGAGAAAGGAUGGCUCAGAGAGAGUAAAUUUUGUUGAGGGCUGUGCCUCGGGGACACACCAGAUGAGUCAGCCAGCUGCCACAGUUUGACUAGAAAGCAGGAAGUAAAGCCAUGUUGACCACAGUUGCCAGAGGCAAAGCCAGCAAGAAUUAGAAGAGGAGAGGCGCUUGUAAGCCCAGGAGGUUAGCUGAGAGGAUUUUUCUCCAAGACAACUCAUUCAGGAAAGCUGAGAGAUCACUCAAAAGGAUGAGCCUCACCUGAAAGCCCCAGGGAGCAACAAAGAGCCAAAAGGACUGUGUGAAAGAAACAGGCUUCGUAGACUACAUUCCACAGAAAUUAUGAAUCUUUACAGUUAUAAUUGUAUACAAAAUUUGUUGUUCAUUAAGAUUUUAAAUAUAUCUUUGUGGACUACUGCUUACCCUGUAUGCCCUAAGGAGCAGUAAAAAAUGAGAAGUCAGCCACUUGGAAAUAUUCUGUGAAAGUAAUUCCUCUGGAAAAUGAGUAGAAUACGGAGUAAAGAGAUAUUUGAUACUCAUCCUUGCCGAAGAAAACAUGCAAAAUCAAAAUGUUAAUCUGGUCUACCCUAAACAUUCUCCAGCAGUAUACCCUAAAUAUUCUCUAGCAGUAUGACCAAUGCAUUACAAAUAAGCAGCUGCUCCUUCAAAAUGUUAACUGAAACCUCCAACAAUAUAUAUCACAGCAACUCCAUGGGAAAAGCAUUUCUACAGUUUUACGAAAGAGCACACUUAGGUUCAAAGGUGAAAUGAUUCUCACUCAAAAUCGCAACAGCUGCCUGUACCUGGACAGUGACAGACCUCCUACAAACUGAGGACAUGAACAGAGUUCACAGAAAGAAAAACGCAAAUGCCAAUAAAAACAUUGAACCUCAACUGCAUCAAAAUCAGAGAGAUCAACACUAAAGCAACAAAUACUGCACACCUUUUAUGUAUCAAGUUGGCACAUUUAAGGAGUUCAAACUUUUCCGAUGACGAAAAGGAUGUGCAGGUGAAAGCAUUCUCCUUCAUUCCUGGUAGGUAUGUGAAUUGCUACAACUUUUUGGAAAGUCAUCUAAUUAAUACCUAGUACAAUUAAAAAUUCCUUUACAUUUUAGUGAUUGACUAGAGAAAGAUUAGUCUUUUCAACAAAUAGCACUGAAGCAAUGGGACAACUAUAGGGAAAACUAAAGACUAAAUAAAGCAAGAUAAGUGCUCUGUCAGGGAAGUCCAGACACUCUGGGAGGCUGCAGGAAGUGUCUAUUACCUGUCUGGAGAGUCAGGAAGGAUUCCAGAGCUCAGCCCCAGCUGACUCCAAAGACAAAGAGUAGUCGAGCAGAGGGAGGAGUUAAAAGCAUA
Molecule: long non-coding RNA, 1740 nt
Filed under: Equus caballus (horse)
Lineage: Eukaryota; Metazoa; Chordata; Mammalia; Perissodactyla; Equidae
Description: lncRNA (ENSECAG00000059632.1)
Source: RNAcentral